RNAcentral lists this ribosomal RNA (372 nucleotides) under uncultured organism. RNAcentral describes it as "bacterial SSU rRNA". It matches the Rfam family "Bacterial small subunit ribosomal RNA", at positions 526 to 896 of the family's 1533-position model. The record is from RNAcentral.
CGUAGGGUGCGAGCGUUAAUCGGAAUUACUGGGCGUGAAGCGUGCGCAGGCGGUUUUGUAAGACAGGCGUGAAGUCCCCGGGCUCAACCUGGGAACUGCGCUUGUGACUGCAAGGCUAGAGUACGGCAGAGGGGGGUGGAAUUCCACGUGUAGCAGUGAAAUGCGUAGAGAUGUGGAGGAACACCAAUGGCGAAGGCAGCCCCCUGGGUCGAUACUGACGCUCAUGCACGAAAGCGUGGGUAGCAAACAGGAUUAGAUACCCUGGUAGUCCACGCCCUAAACGAUGUCAACUAGGUGUUGGGUGGGUAAAACCAUUUAGUACCGGAGCUAACGCGUGAAGUUGACCGCCUGGGGAGUACGGCCGCAAGGUUA